GAUGAACGCUAGCGAUAGGCUUAACACAUGCAAGUCGAGGGGCAGCAUGGUCUUAGCUUGCUAAGACUGAUGGCGACCGGCGCACGGGUGCGUAACGCGUAUGCAACUUGCCUCACAGAGGGGGAUAACCCGUCGAAAGACGGACUAAUACCGCGUACACUCCAUCUUGGGCAUCCAAGGUAGAGGAAAUGAAAUUCGCUGUGAGAUAGGCAUGCGUCCCAUUAGCUAGUUGGUGAGGUAACGGCUCACCAAGGCGACGAUGGGUAGGGGAACUGAGAGGUUGAACCCCCACACUGGUACUGAGACACGGACCAGACUCCUACGGGAGGCAGCAGUGAGGAAUAUUGGUCAAUGGGCGAGAGCCUGAACCAGCCAAGUCGCGUGAAGGAUGACUGUCUUAUGGAUUGUAAACUUCUUUUAUACGGGAAUAACAAGAGCCACGUGUGGCUCCCUGCAU
This 457-nucleotide ribosomal RNA is filed under the name Porphyromonas sp. oral taxon 279. Its description in RNAcentral is "bacterial SSU rRNA". It matches the Rfam family "Bacterial small subunit ribosomal RNA", at positions 28 to 474 of the family's 1533-position model. The record is from RNAcentral. Lineage: Bacteria; Pseudomonadati; Bacteroidota; Bacteroidia; Bacteroidales; Porphyromonadaceae.